GGGUAGUAAUUUAAAACCUAAAGAAUUUGGCGGUUCUUAAACUUACUAGAGGAACCUGUCCUAUAAUCGAUAGUCCACGAUAUUAUUUACCUAUUUUAGUUAUCAGCUUAUAUACCGCCGUUUAGUGAAUUAAAUAAAUAAUUUCCCUCAAUUAAUUAGUUAAGAAAAUCAGGUCAAGGUGUAGUUUAUAGAUAGGAAGAGAUGGGUUACAAUAAUACUUUAUUACGGAUAGUAACCCUAGGUAAGCUUGAAGGUGGAUUUAGAAGUAAAUUUUACUGAUUUGAAGCAAGCUCUUAAGAAUGUACACAU
This 309-nucleotide ribosomal RNA is filed under the name Streptocephalus sealii. RNAcentral describes it as "partial 12S ribosomal RNA". The record is from RNAcentral. Lineage: Eukaryota; Metazoa; Arthropoda; Branchiopoda; Anostraca; Streptocephalidae.